AAGAAUUUAGUUAAAAAAUAACAUUAGUUUGUCAAGCUAAAAUUAUUUAAAAAAUAAUUUUUA
This 63-nucleotide transfer RNA is filed under the name Aphthona albertinae. RNAcentral's name for it is "tRNA-Asp". Lineage: Eukaryota; Metazoa; Arthropoda; Insecta; Coleoptera; Chrysomelidae. The record is from RNAcentral.